UGGAAGACUAGUGAUUUUGUUGUUAUAUAUAUCACAGAACAAUAAAUCACAGUUUUCUCCGA
This 62-nucleotide microRNA precursor is filed under the name Magallana gigas (Pacific oyster). RNAcentral describes it as "Mgi-Mir-7_pre stem-loop". Lineage: Eukaryota; Metazoa; Mollusca; Bivalvia; Ostreida; Ostreidae. The record is from RNAcentral.